RNAcentral lists this ribosomal RNA (253 nucleotides) under uncultured bacterium. RNAcentral describes it as "partial 16S ribosomal RNA". It matches the Rfam family "Bacterial small subunit ribosomal RNA", at positions 524 to 776 of the family's 1533-position model. The record is from RNAcentral.
UACGUAGGGUGCAAGCGUUAAUCGGAAUUCCUGGGCGUAAAGCGUGCGCAGGCGGUGAUGUAAGACAGAUGUGAAAUCCCCGGGCUCAACCUGGGAACUGCAUUUGUGACUGCAUCGCUGGAGUACGGCAGAGGGGGAUGGAAUUCCGCGUGUAGCAGUGAAAUGCGUAGAUAUGCGGAGGAACACCGAUGGCGAAGGCAAUCCCCUGGGCCUGUACUGACGCUCAUGCACGAAAGCGUGGGGAGCAAACAGG